Molecule: ribosomal RNA, 301 nt
Filed under: uncultured bacterium
Lineage: Bacteria
Description: partial 16S ribosomal RNA
Rfam family: Bacterial small subunit ribosomal RNA
Source: RNAcentral
CAGCCGCCGCGGUAAUACGAAGGGUGCAAGCGUUAAUCGGAAUUACUGGGCGUAAAGCGUGCGUAGGCGGUUUGUUAAGUCUGUUGUGAAAUCCCCGGGCUCAACCUGGGAAUGGCAAUGGAUACUGGCAAGCUAGAGUGUGUCAGAGGAUGGUGGAAUUCCCGGUGUGGCGGUGAAAUGCGUAGAGAUCGGGAGGAACAUCAGUGGCGAAGGCGGCCAUCUGGGACAACACUGACGCUGAGGCGCGAAAGCGUGGGGAGCAAACAGGAUUAGAGACCCCUGUAGUCCCUGUCUCUUAUAC